GAGUUUGAUCCUGGCUCAGAUUGAACGUUGGCGGCAGGCUUAACACAUGCAAGUCGAGCGGUAACAGCAGGAGCUUGCUCCUGGCUGACGAGCGGCGGACGGGUGAGUAACGCGUAGGAAUCUACCUAGUAGUGGGGGACAACCCGGGGAAACUCGGGCUAAUACCGCAUAAGCUCUUAGGAGGAAAGCGGGGGAUCUUCGGACCUCGCGCUGUUAGAGGAGCCUGCGUCGGAUUAGUUAGUUGGUGAGGUAAAAGCUCACCAAGGCGACGAUCCGUAGCUGGUCUGAGAGGACGACCAGCCACACUGGAACUGAGACACGGUCCAGACUCCUACGGGAGGCAGCAGUGGGGAAUCUUGGGCAAUGGGGGAAACCCUGACCCAGCCAUGCCGCGUGUGUGAAGAAGGCUCUAGGGUUGUAAAGCACUUUCAGUGGUGAAGAAAUGUCGUUGGUUAAUAACCCUCGGCCUUGACGUUAACCACAGAAGAAGCACCGGCUAACUCCGUGCCAGCAGCCGCGGUAAUACGGAGGGUGCGAACGUUAAUCGGAAUUACUGGGCGUAAAGCGUGCGCAGGCGGCUUUUUAAGACAGGUGUGAAAUCCCCGGGCUUAACCUGGGAAUGGCGCUUGUGACUGGAAGGCUAGAGUGCGGCAGAGGGGGAUGGAAUUCCUGGUGUAGCAGUGAAAUGCGUAGAUAUCAGGAGGAACACCAAUGGCGAAGGCAGCCUCCUGGGAUAACACUGACGCUCAUGCACGAAAGCGUGGGGAGCAAACAGGAUUAGAUACCCUGGUAGUCCACGCCCUAAACGAUGUCAACUAGUUGUUGGGAAGGAGAUUUCCUUGGUAACGCAGCUAACGCGUGAAGUUGACCGCCUGGGGAGUACGGCCGCAAGGUUAAAACUCAAAGGAAUUGACGGGGACCCGCACAAGCGGUGGAUGAUGUGGAUUAAUUCGAUGCAACGCGCGAAGAACCUUACCUGGGUUUGACAUCCUGUGAAUCUUUGAGAGAUCAAAGAGUGCCUUCGGGAACUCGGUGACAGGUGCUGCAUGGCUGUCGUCAGCUCGUGUCGUGAGAUGUUGGGUUAAGUCCCGUAACGAGCGCAACCCUUAUCGUUAGUUGCCAGCACGUAAUGGUGGGAACUCUAGCGAGACUGCCCGGGUUAACCGGGAGGAAGGCGGGGAUGACGUCAAGUCCUCAUGGCCCUUAUAUCCAGGGCUACACACGUGCUACAAUGGUAAAUACAGAGGGCAGCAAUACCGCGAGGUGGAGCUAAUCCCAAAAAGCCGGUCUCAGUUCGGAUUGGAGUCUGCAACUCGACUCCAUGAAGUUGGAAUCGCUAGUAAUCGUGGAUCAGCAUGCCACGGUGAAUACGUUCCCGCGCCUUGUACACAC
Molecule: ribosomal RNA, 1392 nt
Filed under: uncultured prokaryote
Description: partial 16S ribosomal RNA
Rfam family: Bacterial small subunit ribosomal RNA
Source: RNAcentral